This 31-nucleotide non-coding RNA is filed under the name Mus musculus (house mouse). The record is from RNAcentral. Lineage: Eukaryota; Metazoa; Chordata; Mammalia; Rodentia; Muridae.
UUUGGGAACGCCUCCGAGUCUAAAUCGCUCU